UUUGUAUUGAGCUGGACUUAAACGUGUAAACUAUACGAAAUGGCCACAUAUCAUUCUCAAAACUGAUUUGGAAGAGCUCUUCUUCUAAACAUAAAGCGUUCUUCUUCCCAAUUAUACCCACCAUUUUCAAGACUUUUGAAGCUGAGUUUUGACUUCCAAUUUUCUUUGUUUAGAAGAGGUAAGCGAAUUUUUUGUGUAAAUUCCUUCCUUUGACAUUUUUCUGUUAAGAGUUUUUUAAUUUCUUCCCCAAUUUUUGUCUAUGAAAUCUUAGGGUUAGGAAUGGCAAACAUCAAGUUGAAUUAGUUGUGCAUGGAUGAAAAUUGAUCCAACGCAUGCCGGUGGACGAUGCAAACAUGGGAUUUGUUGCAAACGCGAACUUUUUGGUCAGAUCGGAAUCCCGAAAGAUGAUUUUGGUCUUGUCCUCACUAUGAGGUAUGCUUUCAUGUUCUUAGCCUAUCGAUUAAUUUAAAAAUUAAUGUUGAUUGGGUCGUUAUUGUAUUCUUUAAAUUUUAGGCCAUGCAUUGCAAGUUUUUCAGAUGGAGAGAUAAGGAAAGAGUUGAUGAAAGAUUAAAUUUUAUUCUUACGAGAUUGGUAAACAAAAUCAAAUAGUUAGAAGAAAAUUACGAACGUCUUAAGCUGCAUUUGACAAGCUUGAAGAUUCAAAAUGGAAUGUUAAUUAGAAAGGGAAUAGUAUGAAGGAAAAAAUAGAAGAAACUUGUGUAGAAAAUUUAUUUAGUUUUUUAUGGUUUGUGUAACUAUUGUUUAUGUUACCAGCUUAAUCCAAGUUGGCAACUUGAAGGAAAAUCAAAUGGAGUUUCCAUAGUAGCUGAUUGUUGUAGUAAUAUAAGAUCAUUUUGGUAUUGAUGUCGGAUAGGGUAAGGUAGAUGUGGUUUGGUUGUCUACUUCAUUUUGUAUUGUAAUGAAACAUUAUUUUGAUAUUAUAAUGAAACAUUAUUUUGGUACUGUAUAAUAAUGGAUCAUUAUUGUGGUACCAUGGUAUCAUUUUCUGUGGAAAAAUAUUCUCUUGUUACCGUUUAAGCAAAUGUUGGCAGAAAAACAAGAAGCCUCUUGGCAACAGUUUCAUAACCCGAAUUUCCCACCUACAGGACUCAUGAUGGUGCCUAUUAAUGGGAUCUAGACAAGCCAAACUUAAAUACUUUUUCGUUAAUAACAUAAUCCCUUUUAACAAUUAUCAGCAAUAAUAUAAAAGCAACAUAGUUAAUUAAAUAAGCGGAAGUCUUAAAUUUAAGAAAACUGAAUUGAAAUGCAGAAAAUUCAACAUAAGUCUCUACCCAAGACUGGUGUCACAAUACUCACGAACUACCAAGAGUGCUAAAUACAACGUUUGAAAGAAAAUAUAAACUGUAUGUCAUGAAUACAUGGGAUAACUGACUGAAAUAAAAAAUAAAGGAGACGCCGUGCCCGCGGAUGCCUGCAAAGCUACCUUGGUAUCUCAUGGACUGAAGGCUCUCUCUCAGACUACUGCUGCGCUCCGAAUGCUGCUCUAGUAUCUGCACAUAGGUGCAAAGUGUAGCAUCAGCACAAUUGACCCCAUGUUCUGUUAAGUGUUUGGCAUAAUCCUGGCGAGGUAGUGACUAGGCUAGGACCAGACUACCAAUCAACAUGUGCAGUUCAAUAUAUACAUAUGCGACGGAAUAGAAGUACAGAAAAUAAUCUUUCAAAGAGGGAGGGGAACAUGCUGUGGGAAAGUAACAGUUCAGAAAUAGAAACACCAAAUAAGAAAUGAAACUGUACAACUAGAAUAUCAACAAGAGUAAGAAAUCAACAGUUGCACGGCAUCACCCUUCGUGAUUUUACUCUCGUUCUCACCAAAUCAAUCUUAUAAGGUACAUGACAUCACCCUUUGUGUUUUUACUCACUUUCCUUUCCAUAUAAUCAAUGAAUAUCGGUACGGAAUGGUACAUCGUACGGUAUGGCAUUACCUUUCAUGCUUUACACUCUUUCCUCAUCGUGAAAUUAAUAUAAUAGGCACGUAAUGGUACAUCGUGCAUCACCCUUCGUGCUUUUACACUUUUCCUCGCCCAAAUAACAAUCACAAACAAGGGGACAAGGGAGUAGCAAACAACAAUAGAAAUCCUGGCAAGGGAACACAAGUGAAUAGUUAAAUCCCGGCAAGGGAACAACAUCAAUAACCUUAACAUCCCAGCAAGGGAGAUAAUCAAUAAACAAGAAUAACCCGGCAAGGGUACCAUUUAGAUAUUCUUCCUCUUUCUUUCACUCUCAUUUCAUAAUUCACAUUACCACUUGAGCCAAUGCUUCAAAUGGUACAAUAGUUCAUAUACUUUCUCAGUUAGUAGAAUAACUUGAGCCAAUUCUCCCCGACGUUUGAAAGUCAUAAUCCUUUCCACAAAUGUUUCGCAACACCUAGAAAUCAUCUCUAAGGCAUGAAAUAUAUAACAUGAAUAAAGAUAUUCACAAUUUAUAAACUCACAGUCAUGCUAAACACCUACGUAUAGAUACUCUUCACCAUAUCUAUACGUCGUACUCAACAUAAAACAAGUAGCAAAUAUGACUCAACUCCUAAUCCCUCAAGCUAGAGUUAGACCGGACACUUACCUCAAUGCCUCGAACAUAACUCAAGUCUCAAUUAUAGCUUUACCCCUUGAUUCCACCAAAAAUCCGCUCGAAUCUAGUAAGAAGUUACUUAAUUUCAUCAAUAGACGCUAAACGAAUCAAUUAGAAUGCAUAAAAAUGAAUUUCCUAAAGUUUUGCCCAAAACGUCCAAAAAUGCCCCCAAACCUACGUGGUCAAAACCCGAGGUUUGAACCAAAACCCAAUUACCCUUUCCCCCACGAACCCAUAUAUGUGAUUUGUUUUGAAACCGGACCUCAAAUUGAGGUCCAAAUCCCCUAUUUAUGGAAAACCUAAGUUCUACCCAAAAACCCCCAAUUUCUCCCAUGAAAAUUUUUGAAUUUAGGUUGAAAAUAUGUUAAAGAUUCAAAUAAAUGAGUAAAAACUAACUUACAAUUGAUUUGGAAAAGAAAUGAUUCUUGGAAAAUCGCCUAAAUGUGUUUGAGUUUGAGAACAUAUGAAAAAUGGGGUUCAGAAUUGGUUAAGUGUUAAAAAUGCAGGUUUUAGACGUGGGAAAUACGAACAGGGGUUCGUAAUUGCAAACCCCGACAUGCUAACAUAGGAAAUGAGAGACUGGGUUCACAUUUGCGAACCCUUUAGGAUUUCGGGACCUUCGCAUUUGCGAAGUGAAGGCUGCAUUUGCGACAGGACGGACAUUGCAUUUGCGAAGAUGUGCUGGCCUGGGCUUACUUCGCAAUUGUGAAUGGCCACUCGCAUUAUGCGAAGCCUACAAACCUGCUAUGCUCAGCUGCAAAUUUUUGCUACAUUCUAAGUUCCAAAUGCACUCGUGGCCUAUCCAAAACUCACCCGAGCCCUCGGGGCUCCAAACCAAACAUGCACACAACCUCAAAAAUAUCAUACGGACUUAUUCGUGUGAUCAAAUUACCAAAAUGACAUCAUAUACAUCACAUUAAGCCUCAAAAUUCAUGAAUUCUUCUAAAUUUCAUAAAAUAUCGAAUUUUCCAUUUUAAGUCUAAGACACGUCAAACGACGUCCGUUUUUAACCAACCUUUACAAAAAGUUCUUAAAUUAUAUAUAUGACAUGUACUAGGCAGGGCUAUCAUUUUCUAGUCAGAUUUCAUUUUCAAUUUCCUUAACUGUUUUUCAAAAAAUAAUUUUACUCAAAAAUUCAUUUCUCGGGAUUAGAACCUCGGAAUUUGAUUUCGGGCAUAUACUCAAGUCCCAUAUUUUCCUACGGACUCUCCAGAAUCGUAAAAUCACGAGUUAGGGUCCAUUUAUCCAAAAUAUUGACCGGAGUCAAAAUUAUUUAUUUUAACAUUAAAAUUUAGUAUUUUUCAUAGAAUUUCAUAUUUAAGCUUAUCGGUUGCGCAUCCAGACUAGCACGUAAAUUGAGGCAAUUAUAAAUAAGGUUUUUAAGACCUCAAAGACACAGAAUUUAAUUAGAAACAGGUGAUGAACCUUUGGGUCGUCACAAACAGCAGGUUAGCACAUUGUCCACGACUUUAGAAUAUCCAAACUAAUUGCAUGGGAAGAAAACUAUUAUAAUUUCCAACAAAUUACUUCAAUGGUACAUUUGAAUACCAAUAAUCUAAUAACAAAACAAAUGUUUCCAACAUAACACUUUGAGUACCAUUUCAUACACUACACUCAACACAAAAAUGGUACAUUUGAAUAUCAAUACUCCACAAUUCUAACAACACUUCAAAAAUUCCAUCAACUUCAUAACAACAAAACACCAUUCUAGGUAAAACUAAAAAUAAUAGGGCCAUAUCAACACUAUAAUUUCCAUUUUUGGGGCUGUGAAUCAGCAUUCCUUGAUUUAUCUCUAAUUUCUUGAAGUCUUCUUGUUGUAAUUGCUUGUUUUCCUUUCCACUUCAGUCCAUUAGUUGGUUUGAAACCAAUAUCACCAGUAAUAUCAGCUGAUCUUGUUAUCGCUGUUGAUGAUCUAGUGGAUAUUAUUCUGCUAGCCCAGGCUAUACAAAAAAUAGUUUAAUUAGUUUAAGGUACAUUUAGAUAAUAGCAGAACUGAUUGCAUUAAUACUUACAUUAAUAGUUUUGAAGCCAUUCUCAGAUGGAACACACCAUUCUCAUCAGUCUUGGCCUUUUAUAUAGUGUUGAGCUCCCAACACCCCUUCCCCUUCCUUUGGUAGCAGUAGAUGAACUAGGUGCAACAGAUACGAUAUCAGAUGCAUUUAGAGUUGAACAUGAAAACCAACUUUCAAGUGAAUGAUGUAUUGUUGCUCUUCCUUCCCCUCCUCCCCUUCCUCUUCUUCUUCUUCUCCUGCCUUCAGUGAAUUGUUGAUGAAAUUCCAAUAGUAGCAAAAGUAUUAGUUGUUGUAUUAUGAGCUUAAGAACUAGGAGCAGAGCACGUAAACCAACUGUCAAGUGAAGAAGUUGAUGAAAAUUCAGCACCAACAUAUGCAGUAGGUGUAGUAUUAGGUGCAUUAACGACAGAUACAUUAGUUUAUUUUCCUUGGUCUACAUCUUCAUCUUUUUACCGUAGGUUCACCUUCAUUAGUAGCUGAUUUAUGAAGAGAAAAAAAACAUGUUAAAUAGUGAACUAAAUUUAAAAGAUAUUGAUACAAAAUAGAAUAUUACCUUUGGUCUUCCUCUUCCCUUUCCUGAAACUGAUUGUUUUACAGCAGUUGUUGAUGAACUAGCACCAAGUCUAUCACUAUCUGGACACCCUCUUUUGUUGUGACCCCUCUCAUGACAGGGGCUACAUGUUAUUGCUAUACUAGUUUUAGGAAAUUUACCAGAGUUCUUAGUUUUAUUUGCCUCUUUCCUUCUAAGCUUUUUUUGUCUUCCAGGCAUGCCCUUGACAACUGGUAGUGCAAAAAAAGAUUGGUAUAUUCAGGCCACAUUGACAUAUACUCACUGGUUGAUUGAAAUUAGAAUAAGUUAACAAGUAUAUCUCCUUUUUGUAGCAACUAUCAAUGAAGUCAGUUGGUUCAACAUUGUCAUAAUACAUUGCACAUAUGGCAUAUGGACAUGGUAUCCCCCUUUAGCAUUCAAGAUCUGUAACAACAAAGCUUAUUUCUAAGACAUGUUUACCAUCACUUACUUCAUAUCAUGUUUGUCCAUUAAACUUAAUGGUACAUCUCAUUAAUUUUUCAAUAUUGUCCCCCAAUAUCUUUAAGGCCAUUGGAGAGAUGUUGGUGCUUCAUGUGUUUGCAAAUGCCCUUAACUUUCCUAUUCUGGUCAUCAUCUUGAUUCUAAUCUCUUCAAGCAUGCUAAUAAUAGGCUUUUGCCUUGCUGCCAAGAUCCAGGCAUUAGAACUCUCUAACAUGCUUCAUCCACUGCAUCACACUUCAAUUCACAGUUAAAUUACACCUUGCACCAAUACUCCUUGUUAUAAUAUAGUAGAUUAUCCAUUUUGUUCUUACCAAGCAUUAACGGUGUUUUCAGUUUUUUUAAAAAAAAUUCAGCUUCGUAUGUGCUUAUGGAAAAAAUCUAGAAUAAGUUCCUCCUUUGAAGCCCUCUCUAUUUUUUUGACCAAUAAGCUAAGAUGUGCAUAACACACAUCCUUUGUUCACAAGCUUGAAAGAAUUCUUUAAUUGCUGAAUCCAAUCUUUGUAAAUUACAGUUACAUGAAAAACAAAAAAUGAAUGAUAAGUCAGUUUCAAAGAAAGAAAGUGAAGCUAAUGAAACACAAAGUUACAAUUGCUGAAAUAUACCUUAUGCGUGUCAAUGAUCGAAGUGAAGCUUGUGCUAUCACCUAAUCCAAAAUCUUCCUUCGGCAAAGUUAAGACCCAUGACCAUUUAGUUUUCUUCUCAUAUUAAACUACUACACAAGUAAGUGGAAGCAUUUGGUUAUUACCAUCCUUAUCCACAACAACUAGUAGUUGCCCCCUACUUACACCCUUCAGAAAACAACCAUCCAAGCCUAUGCAUUUCUACCCCACAAGAAUUCAUUUUUAGUGCCUCAAACAUUUGUAGAAACUUACAAAUACUUGUCUACCAAGUUCAUCAGGUUCACGAAGCUUCACAACACAAGUUCUCUCAGGGUUGGUCCUUAACAACUCAUCCCUGUAAUCAAGAAUUCUACCAAACUUCACAUUAUGAUCACCUAUUAUUUGCUGCAAUACUUUAGCUCCUUCUCUCCUGAUUGUGGUCUUACCAACAUGAGCUUUGAAUUUCUUCCUAAUUAAUUCUUGCAACUUGAAUACUCUUAUAUUUGGUUGUUCAGUUAUUUUAUCUUUUAAAGACAUUGGCCAAGAAUUUAGAAUUGCAUAAGUAAUUUCCAGAGGCCCUCUCACAAUUGUGAAAUGAAUUGUAAGUCCUUGUAAUAAAAUUAUUAAUUACACUAUCCAAGCUUGCAAACAAAAGCCAACCGCAGUUAUCCUUGGUGCACCUUACCCUGGCUCUAAUUGUAUUCUUUUCAAUAAGAACUCUUUUUACAGUGCAUACCUAGUUACUACAUCUCUAAAGUCACUAACACUCUCAAAGAUCAUACCCAACUGCAAUACAAUCUUUUUUCAUAUUUGUCAAACUUCACACUCUUUAUAGAUUUAGAUAUCCUUUUUGUUAGUUUUACUUCAUGCCUUCCCCAUUUUCAUUCCAAUAUUCAGCUUCAUCAGUGUUAAAGCUACAAGCAUCAGAACUUGGAUAAUAUGGUUCAUCGCCACCUAGCCUUCCUUAUGCACUUUUUUUUACCUAUUUCAAUCUCAUCAAAACCAAGCUCUGGCCAUGCAUCGCCACAUGGUACAUCUUUAGCAUCAACAACAACUUUCUACUUUCUUUUUCUCCUUUAAAAUGACCUACUAUCCUUCCUAAUAUCUAUGGAUUCUUCAUGUACAUCACUUCCAUAAUCAUACCUCCAAAGAAGUCACUGUCUUCAGAAUUAUCACUAUCUUCAGUUGAUUCAUUAGAUCCAUCGUCGCUUGGAAAAUCUUUAGUUGGAGAAGAUUCUUGAUUUGAAAAAGCAGUUUCUUGUGUAUGUUGGAUGAACAAUUGGAUAUGCAGGAGCAACUAUAUUUGGAGGAGCAACAACAUUGAUUGAAGGAGAAGCACCAGUGUUUGAAGGAACAUCAAUGUUUGGAAGAUCAGCAGAACCAUUAAAAGCAGUCCCUUUACUAAAAGCUUAGCAAGAUUCGUCCUCAGGCAUGUGCACAUAUAAGUGGCCGAAAACUAUUUUACAACUUGAGUUGUACCCUAGUUCUUUACUAUAAUCCUUCAACUCAAAAUAGGAGAGGGUAUCCACAUCAGCAUCCAAAUAUUCACUCAUUACUCGACCAAAAUAUUUGGUUUCUCAUUUACAAACUCUAAGACCCCACCAUUAUAUAAUUUUAAAGUGAUUAAAGCAAAUCCAGUAAUACCUAUGUGCAAACAAAGCAAAAAAAAAUCGAUAAAACCAAAUUCAGUAGAAUUUGACAAACAAUAGAUACAAGUAUUAGAAAAAUAUUUAUUUGCAAAAAACCUGAACUUUUCACUAAACCGAUGUACAAUCAAAUCUCUGAGGUUAACAUGUACACAUUAAACCUCAAAUUUAAUCUGCCAAUCACAAAAUUGCAGGGGAUAAAAACAUUUAAAAUUCCCAAACUAACACAAAAAUAAUCAAAUACAGUAACAAACUAACUUUUGCUCUUGGAUUCUGAUGAAUAAAAAUCUUAGCGUUCCAAGUUGACCUUCAAUCGACACACGAAAAACCCUAGAACAUUAUUCUUGUUUAGCCUUCCAAUCUGAGCUCCCCUUCCUUGAAUUGAAUCAUUAAAUAAGGGGCUUUAUCUAAUAGUAUCCAAUUACAAGAGAAUAUUUUUUUUAUGUCUUGUUGAUUUCAUUAAGGAUCAAAAGGGAAGAUGAGUGUGAAGAAUGGGGGAAAUUUUUGGGUCGGAGGUGUUAUGUUUAAUGAAGAGGUAAAAAAGGAUAAAAAGGAGAAUGUGAUGGCGGACUAUUGGUUUUUGAUAAAUGAUGUGCGUGUCUACACCGCAUGUGUAACGACCCGGUCGGUUGUUUUGAGAAUAUUAGCCCCGACCCCCUAUUUUCUGCUUUCCCCAUAUCAUUUUAUGCUUAUGUGACUUGCCGGAAGGAUUUAUUUUUAUUUUUGGAGUGAAAUGGGACAUUUAGUCACUAAAAUAGAAGCUUAAGUUCUAGAAAUUUGACCGUAGUUUGAACUAUGUGAAGAUGAUUCCAGAAUGGAGUUUCGUCAAUUCCGUUAGCUCCGUUGGAUAAUUUUAGACUUAUGAGCAUGUCUGAAUUGUGAUUUGGAGGUACGUAGUUGAAUUGGGCUUGAAACGGUGAAAGUUGGAUUUUUGGAAAGUUUGAUCGGGAGUGAACUUUUUUAUAUCAGGUCCAGAUUCAAACUUUGAAAGUUGAAAUAUGUACGUAAUGUCAAUUAUGACUUGUGUGAAAAACUUGAGGUCAAUCAGACAUGUUUUGAUAGGUUUUGGCAUCGGUUGUAGAAGUUUAAAGUUUCACGUUCAUUAAGUUUGAAUUGGAGUGAAACUCGUGUAUUUGUUAUUGUUUGAUGUAAUUUUAGGGCUCGACUAAGUUUUUGUGAUGUUUUAGGACUUGUUGAUAUGUUUAGUUGAGGUUUUGAGGGCCUCGGGUGGAUUCCGAGUGGUAAACAAGCUAGACCUGGACUUGUUGGAAUUGCAAAAAAUAUGGUGCAUCAGUUGCUGGUUUCCUUCAUCGCGUUCGCGAGAGAGGUUCCAUGUUUACGUACGGCGUCUGGGAGUCCAGCUAGGUUUUUUCUUCACGUUCGCGAUGUGGUACCAACAUUCGUGAAGCUUUGGACCAUUGAGCCUACGUGUUCGCGAUAAGGUCCUUCCGUUCUCGUGGAGCAACGGGCAGAGGGGGUCCCAGGCAUUUAGCCUACGCAUUUGCGAUGAGGGUCCCGCAUUCUUAACAGGUCAGACUAUGUGAGCUUCCGCAUUCCCAAUUGGGCCAUCGCAUUCGCGAAGGAGGUUUUGGACUAAAGGAAUUUUUUAUGCUUCACGAACGCGAGGAAGCUUCCACGUUCGCAAAGAAUGAUUUCACUGGGUAGAUAUAAAUAUUUCAAAUCAAGUGUUUUACCAUUUUUAUCAAAAUUUGAGAUAGAUAGCUCGGAUUUGCAUGAGAUUUUGAGUGAUAUUCAGAGGCAUCAAUUUGAUUUAGGCUAUGCGGAGUUGGGAAAUUGAGAAAAAGGCAUUCUUGCUGAUCGAUUGAGCUUGGAUCGAGGUAAGUGGCUUGCAUAACCUUAUGGGGAUGGGGAAAAUCCCUUAGAAUUUGUUGUGAUACUUCUAUGGUUUGUGAUGCCGUGUAUGCAAGGUGACGAGUGCACACAUGGGCUAAUUGUUGUAAAAUUCAGUUUUCACUGAGCAGUAUUAUGUUACAUCUUAAUUGAGUUAUACAAGCAUGCGUAGUUAUCAUGUUUAGCUAUUACCUUUCUACGUGUUAUUUAAAAUCUAUUCAACAUGCUUAGUUGAUUCCCUUCUUUUUUCUUGAUUUGUAUCAGUCUUAAACUGUAGAGUUCUUGCUGUUAUGUUGUUUCCAUCGGUUUUGGGUUGCGUGUUUACUUUUGGGACUUUGAGGCGGUGCCUUGGGAGAUCCCCUACAUAUUUGCUUUUGGGACUAUGAAGCGGUACCUCGGGAGAUCCCCUUGCAUAUUUACUUUUGAGACUAAGAGACGGUAUCUCAGGGGAUCCCCUGUUGAGCAUUUACUUUUGGGACUGCAAGACAGUAUCUCAAGAGUGCCCCUGUUGUUUACCUCUAUGUGAUAUGUUGUUACUUAUCAAUAAAUUCUCUUUGUUAAUUUCUCAGCCUUUUAUCAUAUUGUUAUAUCUUCUGUCCUAUUAUUAUAACCGAGUAGGGCCCUGACCUGUUGGCCCAAAAACAGGUGAAGUGUUGAAAAAUGACAAAUGAACUCAGUCAUGGACCAUGUCUAUCUUGUUAAGCACAGUCAUGAUCAACCUAUACAUGUGAGAUGCACGUGAAGAAGAUAAGUCCUACUGAUCAAGCAUCAAUAUCUCCUGAUAUGAUCGAAAAGGUUGCAUAUUAGAUAAGGGAAGAAAGUUUCCUUAUAUGAAGAGAACACAAUCCAGGAUAAAGAUGGUGUUAGAGUUUGAGAUCUUCAUGAACUCUUCUACGAUUGAGUCCCAAC
RNAcentral lists this long non-coding RNA (10633 nucleotides) under Nicotiana benthamiana. RNAcentral's name for it is "long non-coding RNA (NBEN_LNC017669)". The record is from RNAcentral. Lineage: Eukaryota; Viridiplantae; Streptophyta; Magnoliopsida; Solanales; Solanaceae.